This 460-nucleotide ribosomal RNA is filed under the name uncultured bacterium. Its description in RNAcentral is "partial 16S ribosomal RNA". It matches the Rfam family "Bacterial small subunit ribosomal RNA", at positions 338 to 795 of the family's 1533-position model. The record is from RNAcentral.
CCUACGGGUGGCAGCAGUGAAGAAUAUUUGUCAAUGGACGAGAGUCUGAACCAGCCAAGUAGCGUGAAGGAUGACUGCCCUAUGGGUUGUAAACUUCUUUUAUAUGGGAAUAAAAUGUUCCACGUGUGGGAUUUUGUAUGUACCAUAUGAAUAAGGAUCGGCUAACUCCGUGCCAGCAGCCGCGGUAAUACGGAGGAUCCGAGCGUUAUCCGGAUUUAUUGGGUUUAAAGGGAGCGUAGGUGGAUUGUUAAGUCAGUUGUGAAAGUUUGCGGCUCAACCGUAAAAUUGCAGUUGAAACUGGCAGUCUUGAGUACAGUAGAGGUGGGCGGAAUUCGUGGUGUAGCGGUGAAAUGCUUAGAUAUCACGAAGAACUCCGAUUGCGAAGGCAGUUCACUGGACUGCAACUGACACUGAGGCUCGAAAGUGUGGGUAUCAAACAGGAUUAGAUACCCGUGUAGUC